This is a long non-coding RNA of Empidonax traillii (willow flycatcher), 161 nucleotides long. RefSeq lists it as uncharacterized. NCBI's taxonomy places the organism in Eukaryota, Metazoa, Chordata, Aves, Passeriformes, Tyrannidae. The record is from RefSeq and is a predicted model, not a curated record. The transcript has 3 exons.
CCUGAAGAGAUGGAGCAGCCCCAGCCCCUGCAGGAAGAUCCAGGCCAGGACCGGACACAAGAACAGGACCGUGCCCGUGGCCGCUUCCGCAGGGCAGUACAGGACUUUCUGACAUCCUGGAGGCGUAGAGGGGCCAGGAUCACACCAGCUGUGGUCGUGGC